Molecule: ribosomal RNA, 634 nt
Filed under: fungal endophyte
Lineage: Eukaryota; Fungi
Description: eukaryotic LSU rRNA
Rfam family: 5.8S ribosomal RNA (bases 180-333)
Source: RNAcentral
UUAAAGAGUUCUAUAACUCCCAAACCCAUGUGAACAUACCUAACGUUGCCUCGGCAGGUCGCACCUACCUUGUAGCACCCUACCCUGUAGGGCCUACCCGGGAGGUGCGGGUAAGCCUGCCGGCGGCCCACCAAACUCUGUUUGAUAUUGAAUUCUGAACCUAUAACUAAAUAAGUUAAAACUUUCAACAACGGAUCUCUUGGUUCUGGCAUCGAUGAAGAACGCAGCGAAAUGCGAUAAGUAAUGUGAAUUGCAGAAUUCAGUGAAUCAUCGAAUCUUUGAACGCAUAUUGCGCCCAUUAGUAUUCUAGUGGGCAGGACCGUUCGAGCGUCAUUUCAACCCUUAAGCCUUCGUUGCUUAGUGUUGGGAGCCUACGGCAACGUAGCUCCUCAAAGUUAGUGGCGGAGUUGGUUCACACUCUAGACGUAGUAAUUUUUUAUCUCGCCUAUUAGUUGGACUAAUCCCCUGCCGUAAAACCCCUAAUUUAUCAAGGUUGACCUCGAAUCGGUUCAGACAAACUCGCUAAAUUGAAGCAUCUUAGUCAGCGAAGGAAAAGAAACCAACAGGGAUUGCCCUAGUAACGGCGAGUGAAGCGGCAACAGCUCAAAUUUGAAAUCUGGCCCUCGGGUCCGAG